CGCACGAGUUCAGACUCGUGGCGAAUAGCUCAGUAACACGUGGCCAAACUACCCUUCGGAACACAAUACCCUCGGGAAACUGAGGCUAAUAGUGUAUACCAUACCACCACUGGAAUGAGUGGUAUGCUAAACGCUCCGGCGCCGAAGGAUGUGGCUGCGGCCGAUUAGGUAGACGGUGGGGUAACGGCCCACCGUGCCAAUAAUCGGUAUGGGUCAUGAGAGUGAGAACCCAGAGACGGAAUCUGAGACAAGAUUCCGGGCCCUACGGGGCGCAGCAGGCGCGAAACCUUUACACUGCACGACAGUGCGAUAGGGGGAUCCCAAGUGCACAGGCAUAGCGCCUGUGCUUUUCGGUACCCUAAGGCGGUACCAGAAUAAGGGCUGGGCAAGACCGGUGCCAGCCGCCGCGGUAAUACCGGCAGCCCAAGUGAUGGCCGAUCUUAUUGGGCCUAAAGCGUCCGUAGCUGGCCGCGCAAGUCCAUCGGGAAAUCCACCUGCUCAACAGGUGGGCGCCCGGUAGAAACUGCGUGGCUUGGGACCGGAAGGCGCGACGG
Molecule: ribosomal RNA, 554 nt
Filed under: Natrialba aegyptia
Lineage: Archaea; Methanobacteriati; Methanobacteriota; Halobacteria; Halobacteriales; Natrialbaceae
Description: bacterial SSU rRNA
Rfam family: Archaeal small subunit ribosomal RNA
Source: RNAcentral